RNAcentral lists this ribosomal RNA (495 nucleotides) under uncultured bacterium. Its description in RNAcentral is "partial 16S ribosomal RNA". It matches the Rfam family "Bacterial small subunit ribosomal RNA", at positions 28 to 507 of the family's 1533-position model. The record is from RNAcentral.
GACGAACGCUGGCGGCGUGCCUAAUACAUGCAAGUAGAACGCUGAAGGAGGAGCUUGCUUCUCUGGAUGAGUUGCGAACGGGUGAGUAACGCGUAGGUAACCUGCCUGGUAGCGGGGGAUAACUAUUGGAAACGAUAGCUAAUACCGCAUAAUAGUAGAUGUCGCAUGACAUUUGCUUAAAAGGUGCAAUUGCAUCACUACCAGAUGGACCUGCGUUGUAUUAGCUAGUUGGUGAGGUAACGGCUCACCAAGGCAACGAUACAUAGCCGACCUGAGAGGGGGAUCGGCCACACUGGGACGGUGACACGGCCCAUACGCCUACGGGAGGCAGCAGUAGGGCAUCUUCGGCAAUGGGCGGAAGUCUGACCGAGCAACGCCGCGUGAGUGAAGAAGGUUUUCGGAUCGUAAAGCUCUGUUGUAAGAGAAGAACGAGUGUGAGAGUGGAAAGUUCACACUGUGACGGUAUCUUACCAGAAAGGGACGGCUAACUACGUG